AUGGAAGAGCGAAAUAUCUUUUUGCUCUUCAGGAGCAUGCUCUCUGUCCCUACCAGAGGAGGCCCUGGCCCUAGCUGUGCUAGGGCCUUGAGGAAGAUUUUCUUCCUACCAGUCUCUUUGUGUCUUAGCAUCCAUCACUCAGGAUGCGAGGGCCAUAGAUGUCUCGGAAGCCCCAGGAGCCUGGAGCGCUGUGGGGACUAAAUCUCUCUGGGCAUUAACUCACGGGCUAGGCUGUUAUGGCCCCCUGUCCUUGGCUGCUCAGAGCAGAUUAACUGCUCCACUAAUCAGUGUGCACAGGGCAGACAGUCAGCAAGCGUGGGUUAUGGGGGGUGUCUGGUGUGUACGUGUCUGUGGUGUGCGUGUGUAUUGUGUAUAUGUGCGUAUGGUGUGUGUGUUUUGUGUAUGUGUUGUGUAUAUGUGGGGUGUAUGGUGUGUGUGGUGGAUGUCUGUGGUGUGUAUAUGUGUUUGUGUUUUGUGUACGUGUGUGGUUUGUGUAGGAUGUGUGAGGUGUGUGUGGUGUGUAUGUGUGGGGGUGUAUGUGGCAUAUAUGUGUGUGGUGUGUAUAUGUGCAGUAUAUAUGGUGUGUGUUGUAUGUGUGUGGUGUGUGCGUGGCAUGUGUGAUUGGUUGUGAGUAUAUGUGGUAUAUGUCUUUAUGGUGUGUGGGGGGUGUGUGUGUGGCAUGUGAUGUGUGUGUGGUGUGUGCGUGGUGUGUGUGUGGCAUGUGAGGUGUGUGUGGUGUGUGCGUGAGUGUAUGUGGUAUGUGUCUGGGGGCAUGUGUGUGGUGUGUGUUGUAUGUGUAUGUGUAGUGUAUGUAAGUGGUAUAUGUCUAUGUGGUGUGUCUGUGGGGGGGGGGCGUGUGUGGUGUGUGUGUGUGUGUGUGUAGUGUAUGUGUUGUGUAUAUGUCUGUGUGUUGUGUUGUGUGAUGUGUGUAUAUAUGCAUGUGGUGUGUGUUUUUUGUGUGUAGCAUGUGUUGUGCGUGUGUGGUGUGUGUCU
This 993-nucleotide long non-coding RNA is filed under the name Homo sapiens (human). Its description in RNAcentral is "HSALNT0301411". The record is from RNAcentral. Lineage: Eukaryota; Metazoa; Chordata; Mammalia; Primates; Hominidae.